CCGCAGAAGAUGCACCCAGAAAGCCCCACUGGAGACCCAGAGGAAAAGGGACAGAGAAACGGCCCCAAAUGGCUACCAAUCUUACAGUCUCACGAAGACUCUGGCCCAGGCCCUGAAUGCUGCUUAUUCCUCCAAAUCGAGGAGGGGAAGGAAGGAGGGAGAAAAGAUCUCGGGGUCUCCAAGGCUGCAGCAAUGGCAGUUAAAUAUGACAAGUUCAUCCCCAAAUCUCCCUCAAUCUUCUUGAAAGAAUCCGUUUCAUCAGUCAUCCCUUCUGUCCACUUUGAGUCUUCAGGGUCCAUGGCCUCUCCAGCCAUCUCCAAGCAGCCUGCCUUCAAACCAGACUCCUCCUUCAGGGAUGCCAGCAGCAAAUUAAGUUCCAGUCCAUCCAAUCCAUCCGAUUCAACAAUUGUUGCGUGCUUAUGAUUAUUGCCUUCAAGUUGAUUUAAAACCAUUGUUAUUUUAUCAAAUUUUUAAAAUGAAAUUUAAAAUAAAGUUUCAAAUAAAGCUUCUAAGUUGAAAGACUUUAUAUUCUUUAAAUCACAUCAAAUUAGCUUACUCUAAGAUCCUAUUAAUUACCGUAUUGAUGACCAAUGGCAAAUUAUAAUCCAUCACCUUCAGGUUUCAUAGGAAAGAUUAAAAAUUAUUUGAGUAACAUUUUGAUGACAGUUUUUAUCCAUUUAGUUAUCAUACCACCCCUCAAGUUUCCACAAAAUUCACAAAAUUCUUUGUGAGUCUUUUAUUGAAACCCAGUUCUAUCACCAGAGUUCCCAUAAUCCAUUUAUAAAGUGUAAUGAUAUGUGAGAAUGACUUUUGGGAUGAGGAGAAGAGAGGCUGCCUAGGGAGGGAUCAGAUAAGAGGGGAGAAUCCUGCAGCUGCAUAAUGGGAGAGAAAGAAACUCAGAAAGGAUCCUCCCUAACUUUUCAGGCUGAGAAAAGUGUUGGUGGGAGAUUUGUUCUUUCAGAUUUUAAAUUUUUUGUUAAAGUCACAUUACAAUAAAGCAGAAUUAGCACAUCUGGAGGUGUUUUCCAUCAGGAUUACAAGGGAGAAGAUUAGCCUGAAAGAUUUCUUCUUGAUCAACCCAUCCUUUCAGGAAAUCAACCUGUUGUUUUCAAAGAGUUUAUGGAUCAUCUUUUUUUUUCUCUGUUCAUUCUAUUGAAUGUUCCCUAUAAUUGCCCAACUGUGUGGAUUAUAUUUUCUUUAUAUUUUGUCAGGAUGUGAUUGACAAAUUUUUCUCAAACUUUUUCAUUCACUUAUGAAGAUAUUGGCAGUAUUUCUACCCUAUUUAACCAUAUUUGGAGAUUGGACAAUUGUAAAAGAAAGAUUCAAUGUGGGAUAAGAAACAAAGUUUUCUCUUUUUCAAAUUCUUGAUGUUCCCAUUCUAGUUUCAUCCCUUUCUGGAGAAGAAUGAAUUUUGGAAUAUUUCUGAGUUUAAACUGUACUUGGACCAAAAUGGAGAGAUAAGAGCAGAUGUUGGCAUUGGCGGCUUCUUGGUUCUCCCCAACGAACAUCCAAGUCCCUGCCUCAGUCCAACUGUGCGGAAAAUUGUCUUCCUGGAUUUGUCAAGAGGGCUCGAGAAGGAGAGCCAGUUUGCUGCUAUGACUGCGUUCCUUGUCCGGAGGGGACCUUCUCCACUCAGGAAGGUGGGUCACACUGAGGAAAAUGAGGCUUUGUGGAACUGGAUCCAUCCAGAAUCUUUUCAUGAAAGUGCAAGUUAAAAGAAACAGGCUCACCUUUUUUUAAUUUUUAACAUGCACAAUUUCUUAUCUAAAAGGAAGUAAAUCAAAAAGUCUUUGAAGGAGGGGCUGGGAGGAGAUGGGAGGAGGGGGUGGUAGACUGGGCAAGCUUUACUAACA
Thamnophis elegans (Western terrestrial garter snake) is the source of this 1853-nucleotide long non-coding RNA. RefSeq lists it as uncharacterized. Lineage: Eukaryota; Metazoa; Chordata; Lepidosauria; Squamata; Natricidae. The transcript has 3 exons. The record is from RefSeq and is a predicted model, not a curated record.